Molecule: long non-coding RNA, 496 nt
Filed under: Homo sapiens (human)
Lineage: Eukaryota; Metazoa; Chordata; Mammalia; Primates; Hominidae
Description: HSALNT0360654
Source: RNAcentral
UCUGCUUCCUUUGUAAGGAAUCUCUGAACUGAGAUGGUGUCGGGAAAUGAUUUGGGGAUAGACGUGCUGGUUCUUUACAACCAUUGUUACUUGACGUCUUUCCAGUAUUUGUUAAAGGGCGUGGCAAACACUAGUGCCGCACGUGUCACCAAUGGUCACCAGCUCCAGAAGGCAAGUAAGAUGUGAGCAAAUUCCAUGAACACCAGAUGGCUUCAAGGGGCUUCCAGGUAAUUUGAAGGAAAAAAAGUUUAAGGACAGAAGAUGAUGCUGAAAAAAUAAAAUCAGCUCUAAAAUUGAUUCCUUGGAGUGGAAUUAGUAAAAAGGAUAUGAAUAUUUUUAGUCUCUUGAUAUGUUAGACUGAUUUCCAGAAGGCUUGUACCAAUUUACUCUUCUACCGACAACUUUUCACCACCUGGAAGUGGGGAGUCAGCUCCAGCACAGAGCUUUGCGGGAGGACAAAAGAGACGAUGUGGAUAAAGUGCUCCGCAGAUCAUCA